CACUUGGCCCUUUUAAGGGCCACCAUAUAUUUGUAACGUCGGAAGAU
Molecule: non-coding RNA, 47 nt
Organism: Lasius niger
Lineage: Eukaryota; Metazoa; Arthropoda; Insecta; Hymenoptera; Formicidae
Source: Rfam